This 208-nucleotide ribosomal RNA is filed under the name uncultured bacterium. Its description in RNAcentral is "partial 16S ribosomal RNA". It matches the Rfam family "Bacterial small subunit ribosomal RNA", at positions 568 to 774 of the family's 1533-position model. The record is from RNAcentral.
CGCGUAGGCGGCAAUUCAAGUCAUCUGUGAAAUCUUCGGGCUUAACUCGGAACGGUCAGAUGAUACUGUCUUGCUAGAGUGCAGAAAGGGCAAUCGGAAUUCUUGGUGUAGCGGUGAAAUGCGUAGAUAUCAAGAGGAACACCUGAGGCGAAGGCGGGUUGCUAGGCUGACACUGACGCUGAGUGCGCGAAAGCCAGGGGAGCAAACG